Molecule: long non-coding RNA, 231 nt
Organism: Myotis brandtii (Brandt's bat)
Lineage: Eukaryota; Metazoa; Chordata; Mammalia; Chiroptera; Vespertilionidae
Exons: 2
Source: RefSeq, a predicted model, not a curated record
GAGAGGUGAAAUAAGAGUGCUUUGUGCAAUAAACCUAAGGGCAUAAGUAGAGAAGAGUUAAGAGGUGUAGCUGAUUCUUCUCCGAUAAUUUUUAAUCAACUAUGCGAAUUGGACUGCAUUCUGGGUCGGUUUUUGCUGGAGUUGUUGGAGUUAAGAUGCCCCGUUACUGUCUUUUUGGCAACAAUGUCACCUUGGCUAACAAAUUUGAGUCCUGCAGUGUACCACGGAAAA